Cyprinus carpio carpio is the source of this 1363-nucleotide long non-coding RNA. NCBI's taxonomy places the organism in Eukaryota, Metazoa, Chordata, Actinopteri, Cypriniformes, Cyprinidae. The record is from Ensembl.
ACAGACGUAAAGGGUGACCAAUAGCAUUGAUUAAAAAAAAAAAAAAAACACCACCAAAAAAAGGGCACUUCGGAGUGUAAGGGCAAAAAGGGCAUGUGCUCUGCACAGGUUGAGCCCUACCUGUGCACGUGCCUGGAUGCGAACCUGGUCCGCCAGCACCGAGUAAGCUACUUGUCAGCUGGUGCAGAUGCAGGCCAGAAUGAGUGAAAAAGCCAGAGAAAAGAAAAUAUCUAAAGUUGUCCACCUAUCUUUCAGGUCACGCAGGGGCACACGGAGGCGUGAGGAGAGAAAUCUCAAACAGUUAAAGGAGAUCACCCAAAUGAUGCGGGAGAGACAGCUUUGAGAGGGAGCCUCGCCGGAGGAGGAGGCAGAGGAGGCCCCUUACACUGCAGAUUGGGAAGGCUAUCCAGAGGAGACCUACCCAGAGUUUGACAUGCCCUCCCACAGAGACAUAUUUCCUAGUGUUAUACUUGAAGAACCUGACCAAGUCAUACCCACAGCAGAGAAGCUUGCUGAGAGAUUGGAGAAGGAAGAAGAGGAGGAGAAUGAGCCUGAUGAUGUGUGUACUAAUGAGGAGGUAAAAGAGGAAAAUAAUGAGGGAGAAAAAGAAGAGGAUGACAAAGAUGAAGAAGAAGAAGAUGAGGAGGAGGAUGAGAUUGGAGAAGACCAGCUCUGUCUUCCUAAAAGUAUUGAUGAGGAUGAUGAGAAACUUGAAUACCCAGGUGAAAAAGAAGAGGAACAGAAACCAAGCAGGAGAAGACGACAAAUCACUUUUAGUGAUCACAGACACGUCUUCCAUUAUCCAAAGGGUGGAGCUGUUGGCUGCAAGUAUGAGGAAGAGGAUGAAGAAGAACUUAAUGGAGAAGAAUAGGAUAAUGAUAAUGAAGGGAAUGAAGAGGAAGAAAAUGGUGAUGAUAAAGACUGUGAAGAAGAAGAGGAGGAAGAUCAACGUAAUGAAGAUGGACAGGGUGAGACCAAGAAGGAGGAGGAUCCCCUAAUGGAGGCGGAGAGUCUGGGAUUCAAUGAUAAAGUGGAAUGUCAUCCUGAGGAACAGGAAGUAGACCUCAUUGACUUGAGGUAACCGUCAUCUCAAUCAAGUCAGAGUCUUCCAAAGCUCAAACCUCUGGGACUCUUAGAAUGCGUCACAAGAAACAAAAGGUGAAGAAGUGACGAGCUUGUCAAAAAAAAACAAUAGUCUUCUGUUCGAAUACCCUUUAGUUCAAACAUACCUUACUGUGAAUCUUUCUUGCUUCACUUAAGGAAACACUUUCUCUGUAACCAUUUAGGCUUUUCUAAGAUUUCAUUAAUCUGUUUCCAAGAACAUCUAGAUAAUAUUUUAGAGUAUGUUGUGUCAAAAAUAGGC